GGGGGUGUAGCUUAGUCCGGUUUAAAGCAGUCGCCUGUCGAGCUUUCAUACCGUGGGUUCAAAUCCCAUCAUCCCCG
Molecule: transfer RNA, 77 nt
Filed under: Nostoc sp. PCC 7120 = FACHB-418
Lineage: Bacteria; Bacillati; Cyanobacteriota; Cyanophyceae; Nostocales; Nostocaceae
Description: Nostoc sp. PCC 7120 tRNA
Rfam family: tRNA
About the family: Transfer RNA (tRNA) molecules are approximately 80 nucleotides in length.
Source: Rfam by way of RNAcentral